This 506-nucleotide ribosomal RNA is filed under the name uncultured bacterium. RNAcentral's name for it is "partial 16S ribosomal RNA". It matches the Rfam family "Bacterial small subunit ribosomal RNA", at positions 29 to 523 of the family's 1533-position model. The record is from RNAcentral.
AUUGAACGCUGGCGGCAGGCCUAACACAUGCAAGUCGGACGGUGGCACAGAGGAGCUUGCCCCCCGGGUGAAGAGGGCGGGACGGGGGAGUAAUGCCUGGGGAUCGGCCCGAAAGAGGGGGUUAACCACUGAAAAGGUUGGCUAAUCCGGAAAAACGUCGCAGACCAAAAGAGGGGGACCUUCGGGCCUCUCACUAUGGGAUGAACCAGGAUGGGUUUAGCUGGUAGGCGGGGUAACGGCCAACCUAGGCGACGAUCCCUAGCUGGUCUGAGAGGAUGACCAGCCACACUGGAACUGAGACACGGUCCAGACUCCUACGGGAGGCAGCAGUGGGGAAUAUUGCACAAUGGGCGCAAGCCUGAUGCAGCCAUGCCGCGUGUAUGAAGAAGGCCUUCGGGUUGUAAAGUACUUUCAGCGGGGAGGAAGGCGAUAAGGUUAAUAACCUUGUCGAUUGACGUUACCCGCAGAAGAAGCACCGGCUAACUCCGUGCCAGCAGCCGCGGUAA